UACAGAGGUCCCAAGCGUUGUUCGGAUUCACUGGGCGUAAAGGGUGCGUAGGUGGCCGGUUAAGUCUGACGUGAAAUCUCCGAGCCUAACUCGGAAACUGCAUCGGAAACUAUCCGGCUCGAGGGUUGGAGGGGGGACUGGAAUACUUGGUGUAGCAGUGAAAUGCGUAGAUAUCAAGUGGAACACCAGUGGCGAAGGCGAGUCCCUGGACAACUCCUGACACUGAGGCACGAAAGCUAGGGGAGCAAACGGG
Molecule: ribosomal RNA, 253 nt
Filed under: uncultured bacterium
Lineage: Bacteria
Description: partial 16S ribosomal RNA
Rfam family: Bacterial small subunit ribosomal RNA
Source: RNAcentral